AGAGUUUGAUCCUGGCUCAGGAUGAACGCUGGCGGCGUGCUUAAGACAUGCAAGUCGAACGGAUAUGCCACUCAAAGCUUCGGUGGAGAGUGGAGUUACAUAUUAGUGGCGAACGGGUGAGUAAUGCAUAGGCAAUCUGCCCUUCAGACGGGGACAACCUCGAGAAAUCGAGGCUAAUACCGGAUAUGCUCACGGUGUGGCAUCACACAGUGAGGAAAUCAAUUUGGCUGAAGGAGGGGCUUAUGUCUGAUUAGCUUGUUGGCGGGGUAAUAGCCCACCAAGGCGACGAUCAGUAGCUGGUCUGAGAGGAUGAACAGCCACACUGGGACUGAGAUACGGCCCAGACUCCUACGGGAGGCAGCAGUCGGGAAUAUUGCGCAAUGGGCGAAAGCCUGAUGCAGCGACGCCGUGUGAACGACGAAGUCCUUCGGGAUGUAAAGUUCUGUCAGUGGGGAAGAUUAUGACGGUACCCACAGAAGAAGCACCGGCAAACUAUGUGCCAGCAGCCGCGGUAAUACAUAGGGUGCGAGCGUUAUUCGGAUUUAUUGGGCGUAAAGAGCACGUAGGUGGUUUAUUAAGUUAGAAGUUAAAGCGUUGAGCUCAACUCAAUUACGCUUCUAAGACUGAUAGACUAGAGUUUAGGAGAGGGAAGGAGAACUCACAGUGUAGCGGUGAAAUGCGUAGAUAUUGUGAGGAAUACCAGUGGCGAAGGCGCCUUCCUGGACUAAAACUGACACUGAGGUGCGAAAGCGUGGGGAGCAGACAGGAUUAGAUACCCUGGUAGUCCACGCCGUAAACAAUGUUCACUAGGUGUAGGAGGUAUCGACCCCCCCUGUGCCGAAGCUAACGCGUUAAGUGAACCGCCUGGGGAGUACGGCCGCAAGGCUAAAACUCAAAGGAAUUGACGGGGGCCCGCACAAGCAGUGGAUCAUGUGGUUUAAUUCGACGAUACGCGAAGAACCUUACCUAGACUUGACAUCCUCCGAAUCCCCUAGAGAUAGGGGAGUGCCUUCGGGAAUGGAGAGACAGGUGGUGCAUGGCUGUCGUCAGCUCGUGUCGUGAGAUGUUGGGUUAAGUCCCGCAACGAGCGCAACCCCUAUCGUAUGUUGCUACAGUUUAGCUGAGGACUCAUACGAGACCGCCCAUGGAAAGUGGGAGGAAGGUUGGGAUGACGUCAAGUCCUCAUGCCCCUUACGUCUAGGGCUACACACAUGAUACAAUGGCCGGUACAACGAGCAGCUAAACAGCGAUGUUAAGCAAAUCUCAAAAAACCGGUCUCAAUUCGGAUUGUAGGCUGCAACUCGCCUACAUGAAGUUGGAAUUGCUAGUAAACGCAGAUCAGCACGCUGCGUUGAAUACGUUCCCGGGCCUUGUACACACCGCCCGUCACACCAUGAAAGCCAGAAAUGCCCGAAGUCGCUGUGCUAACCGCAAGGAGGCAGGUGCCGAAGGCAGCGCUGGUGAUUGGGGUGAAGUCGUAACAAGGUA
RNAcentral lists this ribosomal RNA (1488 nucleotides) under metagenome. Its description in RNAcentral is "bacterial SSU rRNA". It matches the Rfam family "Bacterial small subunit ribosomal RNA". The record is from RNAcentral.